CCUACGGGUGGCUGCAGUGAGGAAUAUUGGUCAAUGGCCGCAGGGCUGAACCAGCCAAGUCGCGUGAGGGAUGACGGUCCUAUGGAUUGUAAACCUCUUUUGUCAGGGAGCAAAGGGCGCCACGUGUGGCGUUUUGCGAGUACCUGAAGAAAAAGCAUCGGCUAACUCCGUGCCAGCAGCCGCGGUAAUACGGAGGAUGCGAGCGUUAUCCGGAUUUAUUGGGUUUAAAGGGUGCGCAGGCGGAAUGUCAAGUCAGCGGUAAAAUUUCGGGGCUCAACCCCGUCGUGCCGUUGAAACUGGCGUUCUUGAGUGAGCGAGAAGUAUGCGGAAUGCGUGGUGUAGCGGUGAAAUGCAUAGAUAUUACACAGAACACCGAUUGCGAAGGCAGCUUGCUAGGCCGGAUCUGACACUGAUGCACGAAAGCGUGGGGAUCGAACAGGAUUAGAUACCCGUGUAGUC
Molecule: ribosomal RNA, 459 nt
Filed under: uncultured bacterium
Lineage: Bacteria
Description: partial 16S ribosomal RNA
Rfam family: Bacterial small subunit ribosomal RNA
Source: RNAcentral